RNAcentral lists this long non-coding RNA (4181 nucleotides) under Gadus morhua (Atlantic cod). RNAcentral's name for it is "lncRNA (ENSGMOG00000035863.1)". Lineage: Eukaryota; Metazoa; Chordata; Actinopteri; Gadiformes; Gadidae. The record is from RNAcentral.
AGGAUGAAUGUGUUCUGAGUGAAAAGGAAAUGCCCUUCGAUGGGGACUCUGCUAGACCAGCGCUGUCGAGACUCAAGAACACCACAUCAGACCCAUCAUGCCUGGCUCAAGUCGACUCAGACAUGUAAGUGUCCACAUAUAUUGAUGUAUCUUUAUAUACCUUUUCCUGUACGAUUGUAUAGGCAAAAACUCUUGAGAUACCUAAGAGGCAGAGAUACAUAAGAGGCCUACAGCCUAUGUAAAGGUCUUCCUUCUGUGACGCAAUAAUUAUAAGAAGUAUUUUAAAGCCAUCCUUUUUGGUCAAAUAAUGAGGGGAAUUCUGAUGAUCCAUGAACAGGCUGCAACACUUUACAGAGCUGGCUGAACUCUCCAGCAUCACAGGCUCUCCUGGCCAGCACCAAGACGGGCUCUUUCGGACCUCCCUCAACAGGCCUCCUCCACCGUGCAACAGCACACCACGGAGCCUGGGUAAACACACUGCCCCUCCUCCUUUACCUUGAGCCCUGUGCUCCUUAGAGGAGCAGAAUGUCCAAACCUUUUUUUAGGGCUGAAUAGUUUCCAUGUUUUUUAAAAUAGUUGUAUAUCUUUUGUUCUGUUGAUGUUUGUGUUGUAUAAUUCUAUUCAACAGCGCAUUUGAAAUCCAACCCUACGGGCACUGAGGUGACCAACAGCCCCAUCCUGGAGGCUCCAGCAGUCCAGUGGACUUCUAUGUCUUUGAACUCUGAGAGCUUUACCACAGCAGCUGCAGAUGUUUCAGGGGACGGCCUCGUAAGUGGCCAAUGCUGUCAACAGUCCGAAACCAUUUGGCUACUUCUCUGGUUGAAUAUCAUUGUCUGGGAUUGCACUGGUUAAUUAUCAACUAUCUUUCUUUUGCCAUUACCAGCAGGACAACCUGGUGGCCACAAACACUAUUCAGUCUCCAUUCUUGAAAGUCGACCCUGGCCCCCAGCCUCCUAGUCACCUCCUGCAGAGCCCUGACUUGAACCUUGCUGGCUCCACGGACCGGGCACAGUGUCCUGGGCCUGGGAAGGAGCAGAGAGGAGCCGGGAGGGAGGCAGUGGAGGGAAGGCAAGAGGAGCAACAUGCCGAGGGAGCAGGACCGUGUGCAGGGUUGGAUGAGGGGGAUAGAAGUGGACAGCAGGGGGAUGGGAAGGGCCACUGUGUGGAGGCAGCGGAGCAUGCAGGACCGGACCACCGAGGCGCCACUGAGCAGCCUCUGCCUGGAGGCUGUGGCGCUGCUAGUGUUAUGAACAGAGAGUUGAAGGGACUGCUGGACGACGAUGAGGAAGGAGCCCUACACAAGGCUUGUGCUGACCAGUGUGGAGACCUUCAACCAGUUGGAGGCAAACCCUCAGAAGACCCCAGCUCACUGGAAUGGAGUGACAGGGCUCACUCUACUUUGGACGAGGCCCUUGCAGAUAGCAGAACUCCCAGACUCGUAGGGCCGGCCGGGGCCACGGAGACGGUGGGUUCAGUUAACAGUGCUCCCAAUUUGGUCAAAUGAAAAUACUCCAACCGGGUUCCGACCUUUCAAAAGUAAUAUUUAUCAGCAGGGUAAAUGGUCAAAGAGGUUGUCCUUGACCACAACGAUAAAAGAAUCACAAAUGUCGCUGCAUUUUAGACCAUUACAUACAUGACAUUAAUCUGCCCGUUGCUGCCAAGUAUAGAGAGCAUGUGUAAUGGUUACACCUCGGUGCUGGUUAAUGGAAGUAUCUGCUCCCUGAAUGGCCAGGGAAGCCCCAGGUGAGGACCAUGCUGAUGGGGAUGAAUACAAGAUCAACCACCACAACAGGAAGCACCUCACCGGCAUCUCAAACGACUGAAGACGCGUUUUCUUUUUGAAGUCAGACGUUGAGAAUGUGUUGAGAAUUAUUGUUGAAAAAGCUUAACUUACAAUUUUGUAUUAACGUAAAGUAGAAAUAUUUACAUAUUUGUUUUUCUCAUUAUCUGAAAUAAGUUAUUUUACAAUUCUUAAAAUAUGAAUGUUAUUGACAAUGUACUGGUGUUGAUUUGGCAAUGUUCUACCGAAAUAAUGUGUUCUCUGUAAACGUCAAGUUAAGCCAUUAGUAGUAUGUUUUAGAAAACAAACAAGUCUUUUCUUUUUGAUACAUUUAUUCUGAAACCGUAUGCAUUUCCUAGCAAGUUAUCAGUCAAUUGUUCCACACAUUCAGCUCCAAAUGGUCAUUGGCUCAUCCUAAGCUUCACAGUAUUAUAGGAAUAGUGUAAUACAUUGUAGAUCUUGUAUUGAUUGUUCAGAAAUUAGCAUGUUGUAAAAACAUAAUUCAACCACAUUUUUAAAAGGUGAAAAUUUUGUGGUUCACUGAAAGGCAUGCUAUAUUCAAGUCCACCCAAACGGUGGGUCUUGUGUGUUUAAAUCCACACAAAAAACUUGUGGAAUGUAAUGGCUUUGCUGUGGUGCACAAAAAUUCCCCAUUUAUUUCUAUCGCUACUAAAAGGUGUUGCAGGAGCUUUUUUUUCCACUGAUGCAUCUUCUGAAGGGUUAGGUGGACAUUGUAAAACAAAAAAAUAGUAAACCAUACAGCUAAGUAUACAACAUUCAUUCAGUAAUGCCUUCACAGCCAAGGCACCAUCUGAGUUAUUUGAAACAGCUCAAACUUGUUUUGUGAGCAGCGCUUGUAACAUAACACCAGACUGAUUUAAUGCUGUGCGAUUAAAAUGUACUGAACCUUCUCAUUUCUGAAAUGAAUUGUUAUUUUUCAAUCCAGAUUUUUUUCUCUAUUGCAUGAGUCUUAAAAAUCCAAUCCUCUAUUUCCUAUAUUGAUUCAAUCCAAUCCAAAAAAUAGGGCAUUUUCACAUUUCACAAUUAAUCAGUGUUCAAAAACCGCUGACAUGCCAGAUCUGGGGGGAGCAUCUUUUAAUGGAUUCAAUGUCACAUCGUUUACAGAACGUUGAAAAUAAUCUGAAUUCCUUGCACAUUCACGGAGGGUGAAUGGUUAGGUUGCAGAAUAAAAGACAAAGCAUCACAAUAUAAGGAUGUUGAUGGACUCCAUGAUGUACAACUUGACCAUCAUUUUCUGCGGCAGGUUGAACUUCUUCAGCAUCUGCAGGAAUAAAACCUCUUGAUAGUGGAGGUGCUGGGAGAUGAUUGUCCCUUGGGAUCAGAAAGACGUUUUUUUGCACAACGAGCAAAAAGCUUCUUGGUCAUUUCCCAUCACGGGUUUCAGCCAGUCUUUUAAUUUCGGGUCGUCCACCCACGUUUGUGAAAACUUGCAUUUACCCAUUCUCUCAUAGAGCUAGAAACUCAGCCGUACAGAACUCUGAGGGGGAAAGGCGGAAAAUUUUGCCGGCGUCGCUAUAGCAACCAGCGACGCCAACUCUAACAGUUACUCAGUUCAGGUCCUGCUGGCACCGUAUACUGUAUUUUUUAGGCUAGAUUCAGUUAAAACAUGUAAACACAUAUUAAGCAAAAAAUGGAAACUCAUUUUAUAUUGAGGUGGUGAAAACUACUACGAAGUCAAAUUGCGUUUGUUACCUCAAGGGCCUUAAUUUUUUAUUUUAUUUUUUACUACCUUUUACUACCGCGCGGACACCCUGGAGGCGGCCGGUUGGGGCUCCUCAAGUCUGCUAACAUCUCUACACUUUUCAUAGCAUUCACCUUGUGGGAACAUAACGUCUCUUGAUCCGGGUGACCCCAAACAUUCUCAAAGGCAUACGUAAAAAAGAUGAGCUGGUGUUUGAGUGUCUGCUUGUGGAAAGAGGGCAUCACUUUAAAGAUAGGAGUAGGCCCACAUAGAAGUCCAUUUCACCAACCUCCUGCAUUUAAGGGGACAGAUGCUGGCGCAGUCGAAAGUGUUGGUCGGUCAACUAACGCCCGCCGACCUGUCUGUCCUAGAUGUUUCUGAGAAGAAGAGAAUGGAGAAGGGAUAAAUCGACUUUUGUUUGCUAUUAAAUGAAUGACUUUAGACAUUUUAAAGUUUCAAAACACUUAUGGGUGAGGAGAGGAUUGUUUACAUGUUGCAUUGACAUUAAGUGUCAUUUCAAGCAAAGUAAAUAUUUUUUUAAAGGAGAUAAAUCCUAGACACAGAAGUCUGUCCCGUUUCCUUCAAAUGUCUGUUAAGCAGUCAGAGGAAAUCAACCAAUCCACAGGCAUGCUAGUAGCCUAUGUAAUGAAAUCGUGUUAAACCAGAUAAUUGGCAGAUGAAGAAUGAUGACAAACAAAC